Molecule: ribosomal RNA, 780 nt
Filed under: uncultured eukaryote
Lineage: Eukaryota
Description: SSU rRNA
Rfam family: Eukaryotic small subunit ribosomal RNA
Source: RNAcentral
GUUAAAAAGCUCGUAGUUGGAUCUUGGAGUGUGAGUGAACGGUCGAUCGAAAGAUUGUACUGUUCGGCACACUCUUCUCUUCGGUUGCGUGUGUAGUGCCCUUAACUGAGUGCUGCACUCGACCGGAAUUUUUACCUUGAAAAAAUUAGAGUGUUCAAAGCAGACCUGAUUAUGUCCGAAUAUUCGUGCAUGGAAUAAUAAAAUAAGAACUUGGUUCUAUUUUAUUGGUUUUCGGAACUCGAGUUAAUGAUUAAGAGGGACAGACGGGGGCAUCCGUACUCUGCCGUUAGAGGUGAAAUUCUUGGAUCGGCGGAAGACGCGCAACUGCGAAAGCAUUUGCCAAGAAUGUUUUCUUUAAUCAAGAACGAAAGUCGGAGGUUCGAAGACGAUCAGAUACCGUCCUAGUUUCGACUGUAAACUAUGCCAGCUAACGAUCAGACAGCGUUCUCUACGACUUGUCUGGCAGUUUCCGGGAAACCAAAGCUUUUGGGUUCCGGGGGAAGUAUGGUUGCAAAGCUGAAACUUAAAGGAAUUGACGGAAGGGCACCACCAGGAGUGGAGCCUGCGGCUUAAUUUGACUCAACACGGGGAAACUCACCCGGCCCGGACACAGUGAGGAUUGACAGAUUGAGAGUUCUUUCUUGAUUCUGUGGGUGGUGGUGCAUGGCCGUUCUUAGUUGGUGGAGCGAUUUGUCUGGUUAAUUCCGAUAACGAACGAGACUCUGGCAUGUUAAAUAGUCGCGGGAGUUAUUAUUACUCGCCUUGAUGACUUCUUAGAGG